CGCCGGGCAAGGAACUGCAAUCACCCUGGAAAAUACAUCUGAAACGAGAAGGAAAGAUAGAGAGGGCAAACCAGGGCUGUGCAGAGGGGAUUCUGGAAAGGAAACCAGAGCCCUUCUGCCCCACCCUAAACAAGAUGAAGGACGAGAAGGCUCUGACACCGACAGAAGCCUCCUCUUCAGAGACACAAUCUGCUUCCCUGUGUCCCAACAACAAACUGCCAGGUGGGCCUUUGAGUAUCCCUAUGUUUAAGUCAAGCCCUG
This 261-nucleotide long non-coding RNA is filed under the name Homo sapiens (human). RNAcentral's name for it is "HSALNT0160067". Lineage: Eukaryota; Metazoa; Chordata; Mammalia; Primates; Hominidae. The record is from RNAcentral.